CUUAGACAUGCAAGUCGAGCGGUAACAGGGGGUGCUUGCACCCCGCUGACGAGCGGCGGACGGGUGAGUAAUGCUUAGGAAUCUGCCCAGUAGUGGGGGAUAGCCCGGGGAAACCCGGAUUAAUACCGCAUACGUCCUACGGGAGAAAGCAGGGGAUCUUCGGACCUUGCGCUACUGGAUGAGCCUAAGUCGGAUUAGCUAGUUGGUGGGGUAAAGGCCUACCAAGGCGACGAUCCGUAGCUGGUCUGAGAGGAUGAUCAGCCACAUCGGGACUGAGACACGGCCCGAACUCCUACGGGAGGCAGCAGUGGGGAAUAUUGGACAAUGGGGGCAACCCUGAUCCAGCCAUGCCGCGUGUGUGAAGAAGGCUUUCGGGUUGUAAAGCACUUUCAGCGAGGAGGAAGGCUCUGAAGUUAAUACCUUCAGGGAUUGACGUUACUCGCAGAAGAAGCACCGGCUAACUCCGUGCCAGCAGCCGCGGUAAUACGGAGGGUGCAAGCGUUAAUCGGAAUUACUGGGCGUAAAGCGCGCGUAGGUGGUUAGGUAAGCGAGAUGUGAAAGCCCCGGGCUUAACCUGGGAACGGCAUUUCGAACUGUCUGACUAGAGUGUGGUAGAGGGUAGUGGAAUUUCCUGUGUAGCGGUGAAAUGCGUAGAUAUAGGAAGGAACACCAGUGGCGAAGGCGGCUACCUGGACCAACACUGACACUGAGGUGCGAAAAGCGUGGGGAGCAAACAGGAUUAGAUACCCUGGUAGUCCACGCCGUAAACGAUGUCAACUAGCCGUUGGGACUCUUGAAGUCUUAGUGGCGCAGCUAACGCACUAAGUUGACCGCCUGGGGAGUACGGCCGCAAGGUUAAAACUCAAAUGAAUUGACGGGGCCCCGCACAAGCGGUGGAGCAUGUGGUUUAAUUCGACGCAACGCGAAGAACCUUACCUGGCCUUGACAUCCAGAGAACUUUCCAGAGAUGGAUUGGUGCCUUCGGGAACUCUGAGACAGGUGCUGCAUGGCCGUCGUCAGCUCGUGUCGUGAGAUGUUGGGUUAAGUCCCGUAACGAGCGCAACCCCUAUCCCUGGUUGCUAGCAGGUAAUGCUGAGAACUCCAGGGAGACUGCCGGUGACAAACCGGAGGAAGGUGGGGAUGACGUCAGGUCAUCAUGGCCCUUACGGCCAGGGCUACACACGUGCUACAAUGGCGCGUACAGAGGGCUGCCAACUCGCGAGAGUGCGCCAAUCCCUUAAAACGCGUCGUAGUCCGGAUCGGAGUCUGCAACUCGACUCCGUGAAGUCGGAAUCGCUAGUAAUCGCGAAUCAGAAUGUCGCGGUGAAUACGUUCCCGGGCCUUGUACACACCGCCCGUCACACCAUGGGAGUGGAUUGCACCAGAAGUAGUUAGUCUAACCUUCGGGAGGACGAUUACCACGGUGUGGUUCAUGACUGGGGGAAGUCGAACAAGG
This 1456-nucleotide ribosomal RNA is filed under the name Marinobacter alkaliphilus. Its description in RNAcentral is "16S ribosomal RNA". It matches the Rfam family "Bacterial small subunit ribosomal RNA". Lineage: Bacteria; Pseudomonadati; Pseudomonadota; Gammaproteobacteria; Pseudomonadales; Marinobacteraceae. The record is from RNAcentral.